CAGUCGCCGCGGGAAUACGUAGGUGGCAAGCGUCGUCCGGAAUUAUUGGGCGUAAAGGGCUCGCAGGCGGUUUCUUAAGUCUGAUGUGAAAGCCCCCGGCUCAACCGGGGAGGGUCAUUGGAAACUGGGAAACUUGAGUGCAGAAGAGGAGAGUGGAAUUCCACGUGUAGCGGUGAAAUGCGUAGAGAUGUGGAGGAACACCAGUGGCGAAGGCGACUCUCUGGUCUGUAACUGACGCUGAGGAGCGAAAGCGUGGGGAGCGAACAGGAUUAGAUACCCCUGAGUCCCUGUCUCUUAUACA
This 301-nucleotide ribosomal RNA is filed under the name uncultured bacterium. RNAcentral describes it as "partial 16S ribosomal RNA". It matches the Rfam family "Bacterial small subunit ribosomal RNA", at positions 509 to 808 of the family's 1533-position model. The record is from RNAcentral.